This 1045-nucleotide long non-coding RNA is filed under the name Lynx pardinus (Iberian lynx). The record is from RNAcentral. Lineage: Eukaryota; Metazoa; Chordata; Mammalia; Carnivora; Felidae.
GCUCUCCUCUCCUGCUAAGCUUUGUUUCCUGAUAGUAAUUAAAACCUUCUGCCACUGCCAUAGCUACUGCUGCUCCUGGAACCGCCAUAACCACCUUGGUUUCAUGGUUUGGCAAAGUAUUGGCCUUCACCACCAUAGGGGUGAAGCUUCUGCCCCCCAAAUUUCCUCCUUUCAUGGGUCCCAAAUUUGAAGAUUGAUUUUUGUAACUGCCAAAAUCAUUAUAGUUUCCACCACCUCCGAAGUUGCUUCCAUCAUUACCAAAUCUGUUAUAGCCAUCCCUGAUGCCACCAUAUCCACCACUACCUCGACUGCCACCAAAGCUGUCUUGCCCACUGAAGUUUCCUCCACGACCAAAGUUGUCAUUCCCACCAAAACCACUUCCAUGACCACCACCAAAGUUUCCAGAACUGCUCCUACCUCUUUGGCUGGAUGAAGCACUAGCCAUCUUUUGCUUAGAGCUCUCCUUACUUCACAGUUGUGGCCAUUCACAGUAUGGUAUUUCUGAAUGACAAUCUUGUCUAGAGUCACGGUCAUCAAAGGUUACAAAAACAAAGCCUCUUUUUGUCACUGCCUUGGUCAUUCAUGAUAUCAAUCACUUCCAUUUUCCCAUACUGUUCAAAAUAAUCUCUUAGAUGAUGUUCUUCAGUGUCUUUAAUGCCACCAACAAAAACCUUUUUCACAGUUAAGUGGGGACCAGGUCUUUGAGAAUCUUCUCUCAAGAUAGCCCUCUUUGGUUCCAAAACUCUUCCAUCCAUCCUGUGUGGCCUUGCAUUCAUGGCUGCAUCCACCUCUUCCACAGUGGCAUAUGUGAGAAACUCGAAGCUUCUGGAGUGCUUGGUGUUUGGAUCUCAUUACCACACAGUCCGUGAGUGUUCCCCAUUGCUCAGAAUGGCUAAACAGACUCACAUUGUCUGUUUUCAAAGCUCAAAACUCUGAUGAAAAGCUUCCGCACCUGUUCAGAAUCUUUGGGAGACUCUGACUUAGACAUGAUGGCAGUGGGAGGUGAGAUUUAACGAUGCUUCCUUGAGGUGUCCAUGGGCAGAAA